This 454-nucleotide ribosomal RNA is filed under the name uncultured bacterium. RNAcentral describes it as "bacterial SSU rRNA". It matches the Rfam family "Bacterial small subunit ribosomal RNA", at positions 340 to 787 of the family's 1533-position model. The record is from RNAcentral.
UAUGGAAGGCAGCAGUGGGGAAUAUUGCACAAUGGGCGCAAGCCUGAUGCAGCCAUGCCGCGUGUAUGAAGAAGGCCUUCGGGUUGUAAAGUACUUUCAGCGGGGAGGAAGGCGAUGUGGUUAAUAACCGCGUCGAUUGACGUUACCCGCAGAAGAAGCACCGGCUAACUCCGUGCCAGCAGCCGCGGUAAUACGGAGGGUGCAAGCGUUAAUCGGAAUUACUGGGCGUAAAGCGCACGCAGGCGGUCUGUUAAGUCAGAUGUGAAAUCCCCGGGCUUAACCUGGGAACUGCAUUUGAAACUGGCAGGCUUGAGUCUCGUAGAGGGGGUAGAAUUCCAGGUGUAGCGGUGAAAUGCGUAGAGAUCUGGAGGAAUACCGGUGGCGAAGGCGGGCCCCUGGACGAGACUGACGCUCAGGUGCGAAAGCGUGGGGAGCAAACAGGAUUAGGAUAACC